This 443-nucleotide long non-coding RNA is filed under the name Vulpes vulpes (red fox). RNAcentral's name for it is "lncRNA (ENSVVUG00000021252.1)". The record is from RNAcentral. Lineage: Eukaryota; Metazoa; Chordata; Mammalia; Carnivora; Canidae.
AGGGGGGUCCACAUACUCUAUUGCAACCACUCUUUCCUACCAGUCCUUCUUUUCAAGAUAGCAUAUUAGUUCAAGCCUCUCAUAACCUUCCUGUACCAAGCUGGGCUCACAAGCAUGGCAAGGUACCCUUAAGUAUUCCAUAUCAAUGACAGAAUCACUGGCUGCCCGGAGCAGAGAGGGCCACCGUGGAGCUGUCACUUCUUCAAUCAGUUGUGUUUCAACUUUGAUUCAUGCACAAAUUAAAAUGGAUCCUGCAGCAUGGAAAGGAGAAGGAAGAAAUGUUAGAAGAGAAAAGGGAACUCGCCCAGCAUGGAUUCAAAGGCAGUGGCAGAAGGUUAAUAUAGUGGCUUAUAGAACUUUGCUUCUAUAGAUAAAUACUUGAACAUGGAAGGUGUUAUUCAGUUAGCCUUUCUGGUUAUUUUAGAAUUUAUCACUUAGUACAA